RNAcentral lists this ribosomal RNA (690 nucleotides) under uncultured bacterium. RNAcentral describes it as "bacterial SSU rRNA". It matches the Rfam family "Bacterial small subunit ribosomal RNA", at positions 68 to 747 of the family's 1533-position model. The record is from RNAcentral.
GGCAGCAUGAUUUGUAGCAAUACAGAUUGAUGGCGACCGGCGCACGGGUGAGUAACGCGUAUGCAACUUACCUAUCAGAGGGGGAUAGCCCGGCGAAAGUCGGAUUAAUACCCCAUAAAACAGGGGUCCCGCAUGGGAAUAUUUGUUAAAGAUUCAUCGCUGAUAGAUAGGCAUGCGUUCCAUUAGGCAGUUGGCGGGGUAACGGCCCACCAAACCGACGAUGGAUAGGGGUUCUGAGAGGAAGGUCCCCCACAUUGGUACUGAGACACGGACCAAACUCCUACGGGAGGCAGCAGUGAGGAAUAUUGGUCAAUGGCCGAGAGGCUGAACCAGCCAAGUCGCGUGAAGGAAGAAGGAUCUAUGGUUUGUAAACUUCUUUUAUAGGGGAAUAAAGUGGAGGACGUGUCCUUUUUGUAUGUACCCUAUGAAUAAGCAUCGGCUAACUCCGUGCCAGCAGCCGCGGUAAUACGGAGGAUGCGAGCGUUAUCCGGAUUUAUUGGGUUUAAAGGGUGCGUAGGUGGUGAUUUAAGUCAGCGGUGAAAGUUUGUGGCUCAACCAUAAAAUUGCCGUUGAAACUGGGUUACUUGAGUGUGUUUGAGGUAGGCGGAAUGCGUGGUGUAGCGGUGAAAUGCAUAGAUAUCACGCAGAACUCCGAUUGCGAAGGCAGCUUACUAAACCAUAACUGACACU